UCAUGUCUGCAGUACGCGCUGGGUUCUAUAUUUCCUUGUACCAAUGCUCAUUGAGCCCGGGCUAGAAAUAUUGCUUGGCUGGUGUGAGCGUCUCGCGUUAGAUGAACCCGAAGCCUCGACUGAUCCUGCCCACCUGUACCCUUCGGUUCAGGAAUGCGGCCCGGCGGUACUUGCAGACACCCC
This 183-nucleotide non-coding RNA is filed under the name Betaproteobacteria bacterium MOLA814. RNAcentral describes it as "6S / SsrS RNA". It matches the Rfam family "6S / SsrS RNA". From Rfam's summary of the family: E. coli 6S RNA was the first non coding RNA to be sequenced, but its function was unknown until recently. It consists of 184 nucleotides that fold into an extended hairpin structure with a large single-stranded internal bulge. The 6S RNA specifically associates with RNA polymerase holoenzyme containing the sigma70 specificity factor. The record is from Rfam by way of RNAcentral. Lineage: Bacteria; Pseudomonadati; Pseudomonadota; Betaproteobacteria. RNAcentral also lists the same sequence under 1 other name.